Non-coding RNA from Melampsora americana, 81 nucleotides. The record is from the annotation of a GenBank genome assembly. NCBI's taxonomy places the organism in Eukaryota, Fungi, Basidiomycota, Pucciniomycetes, Pucciniales, Melampsoraceae.
GGAGCCAUAGUCUAGCGGUUAAGACGACGGUUUUGGGGUUUAACAGCCUGACCACCUGGGUUCGAUUCCCAGGUGAGACCA